UACCCUGGUAGUCCAUGCCGUAAACGUUGGGCACUAGGUGUGGGGAACAUUCCACGUUUUCCGCGCCGUAGCUAACGCAUUAAGUGCCCCGCCUGGGGAGUACGGCCGCAAGGCUAAAACUCAAAGGAAUUGACGGGGGCCCGCACAAGCGGCGGAGCAUGCGGAUUAAUUCGAUGCAACGCGAAGAACCUUACCAAGGCUUGACAUGUUCCCGUUCGCCGUAGAGAUACGGUUUCCCCUUUGGGGCGGGUUCACAGGUGGUGCAUGGUUGUCGUCAGCUCGUGUCGUGAGAUGUUGGGUUAAGUCCCGCAACGAGCGCAACCCUCGUUCCAUGUUGCCAGCACUUCGGGUGGGGACUCAUGGGAGACUGCCGGGGUCAACUCGGAGGAAGGUGGGGACGACGUCAAAUCAUCAUGCCCCUUAUGUCUUGGGCUUCACGCAUGCUACAAUGGCCGGUACAAUGGGUUGCGAUACUGUGAGGUGGAGCUAAUCCCUAAAAGCCGGUCUCAGUUCGGAUUGGGGUCUGCAACUCGACCCCAUGAAGUUGGAGUCGCUAGUAAUCGUAGAUCAGCAACGCUA
This 579-nucleotide ribosomal RNA is filed under the name Micrococcus sp. PLB015. RNAcentral's name for it is "bacterial SSU rRNA". It matches the Rfam family "Bacterial small subunit ribosomal RNA", at positions 783 to 1359 of the family's 1533-position model. Lineage: Bacteria; Bacillati; Actinomycetota; Actinomycetes; Micrococcales; Micrococcaceae. The record is from RNAcentral.